Molecule: transfer RNA, 59 nt
Filed under: Aegista diversifamilia
Lineage: Eukaryota; Metazoa; Mollusca; Gastropoda; Stylommatophora; Camaenidae
Description: tRNA-Cys
Source: RNAcentral
AUACUAUUAGUUUAAAAAAAACGUAAAGUUGCAAACUUUAUAUUAUUUAUUAUAGUAUU